UACAGAGGGAGCUAGCAUUAUUCGGAAUUAUUGGGCGUAAAGCGUGUGUAGGCGGUAUAGCAAGUCAGAAGUGAAAUCCCAAGGCUUAACCUUGGAACUGCUUUUGAAACUGCUAAACUAGAGUUUAGUAGGGGGUAAUGGAAUUUCUAGUGUAGAGGUGAAAUUCUUAAAUAUUAGAAGGAACAUCAAAAGCGAAAGCAAUUACCUAGACUAACACAGACGCUGAGACACGAAAGCGUGGGGAGCAAACAGG
Molecule: ribosomal RNA, 253 nt
Filed under: uncultured bacterium
Lineage: Bacteria
Description: partial 16S ribosomal RNA
Rfam family: Bacterial small subunit ribosomal RNA
Source: RNAcentral